GGAUAGGAGGGCAAUCUGGCUGUGACAUCUGUCACCCCAUUGAUCUCUAGGGUUGAUUCAGCUGAUCUGGCUGGCUAGGCAGGUGUCCCCUUUCUCCUUCACUGCUCCAUCUACAUCCCUCUUGAAGCUGAGUGCUCCAUCCAAGAGGAUGACUAUCCCUGAUAGCAGAGGACCAGUCUCUGGUCAAAGGUAUACAAGUAGCUGUGCCCCCCUGCUAUAACCUCCAAACAAGCUCUCAAAUCACUGGUGCUCUGUAUUCAAACGCCAACUGUCCGGGUCCUGGGCCAGCUGUCUUCUAAG
RNAcentral lists this small nuclear RNA (300 nucleotides) under Saimiri boliviensis boliviensis (Bolivian squirrel monkey). Its description in RNAcentral is "7SK RNA (ENSSBOG00000008983.1)". It matches the Rfam family "7SK RNA", at positions 1 to 253 of the family's 331-position model. Rfam says of the family: 7SK was discovered as an abundant small nuclear RNA in the mid-70s but a possible function has only recently been suggested. Two independent studies have found that 7SK RNA binds the CDK9/cyclin T complex (known as elongation factor P-TEFb). The record is from Rfam by way of RNAcentral. Lineage: Eukaryota; Metazoa; Chordata; Mammalia; Primates; Cebidae.